AUAAAAAAACAACCAUCUGCACCGGUUGUUGAGGUACUUUAUAAAAGGUGAGACACUAAUUUAAUUGUGUUACUACUCACAUGUAGUAGUUUACACGGGUAUCAUGUUCAACUAUUUAAAUCAGAACAUUAGUUUAGUUAGCUUCUGACAGGCUUGUCCAGCUUUCCAACAAUAACCUUUGCUCAUUUUGUUGUCCUGUUCUCGCUCAGUAGACUCUGUUUAUGUGUUUUGGAUUGGUUCUGUUUACGGGUGCCGACUGAGCGGGGGAAACCUUGUCAUUUUUUUACUCGAGUGAAUCCGCCCACAUGCUGCCUUUUCACAUUCUUUCAGGUUUUCCUUAAUUCACAACUCGCCUGCAGAUAGCCUGGCUUAAACAAAGCUGUGAGAACUCGUGCAUUGCCAAUAAGCUGAUGAAGCUUCUUACUCAAAAAGCCAACUAAUCAUUUCACUAAUUAAUAUAAUAGCAACAUGAACUAUUACUUCACAAGACAUAUAAAUUUGUGUGAGACCCUCUUCUAAUUAAUUAGAUAGAGACGUAAGGUUAGAGCACCAGGUGAGCGGAACUGUGCCCCCCUGGAAUCAUCCCCAAUGUCAGACGCUGAAAUUAGUGUUAUUAUUCAUUUUAUACAUUUUUAUGAAAAUGUAUUGAUAUGAUAUUCAUUCAUAAUUUUGUCACAGGAUUGCAACAAAAUACCCGUCUUGAUUAUUUCUCAACAGGCCGCCAAUGCCAAGAAAAACAGUUGACUGGUGUGGACUGCUACUGCAAACCUGCUGCCGUCAGAUAUCUGUGUCACAGCAUCGCCGGUCCGGGAUCAAGGGGUCAAGGGGUCAAGGGGUGUCCCACGCACUCCACCCAAAACCACCAGAGAGAGCAUGCCACUGGAAAGAGAUUUGUUUCAUGACAGCGUCAGUCCGUGGCGCGCUUAAAGGGGUUUAAAAGACGCUGCUUGUGUUUCCUGUGUUAAUCACAGCCCUCUGCUCUCUGUGGUGUAAAGACGAUUUCUGGCAAACGGAGGUUUAAUGCGGGGUCAUUAUUGCCAGUCCAUCCUGUUUCUGGUGUCAUUAGCACAGAGCUGUGGGCCCGGUGACAUGUACUCAUGAAACUCUCCCUUUUACAACAAAUCAUAGUGAUUAUUUGAAGACACGUGCGUUCGAGCUCUCAAACGUCCACUGAGAUUGUUACAUCUGAUUCAGCUGUAAACAGGGAAAGAAAUCUAUUAUCUAUCUGUUAAUCUAUUGUGAUGAUGAUGAAUAAUGAUAAUUGAUCCGUGGUAGCAACAUGGUGCCGGACUGUACAUCAGAGCUCCAUCAUUACAUUUCACAUAUUGACAUAAUGUCACUGAUCACGUGCAAUAAGGAUCAAUAAGGGCAGAAGGAAGCGCAUGUUUUUUUACUGUUUGACAUUUGAACCAAUAAGCAUGAACAUACUGUCCCAAACCAUAGAAAAGAAGGACUGAUGCUUUUCUUGUCUUUUUUUGAUAUUCAAUGAUUGGCCCUGAGUCAAUAGUGUAUAUUAAGUAUUGAUAAGUCAUUUUUUUCACGCGAAAAACAUUGUGUCUAAAAAUCGAUCAGUACGGUGUAGAAUAAAAUAACCGCUUGGAACUGCAUCUUGGGAGGAUUGUUCUUACAGACACUUUAUGGAUUUGUGCCGCAUUGUGAUUGCUGAAUUAACGAAAUAGGACCGUAUAUAUUAAGUGAAUUCCCCAAAAAUGUCAAAUAAAGGCUUUUUAAAUUCUGGGUUGUUUGUAUUUUGCAGUCACCUGGCAGAAGAAAAGCCGUAAGCAAUGUAAAGUUGUGCAUUUGCUGCUGUGGCAGAGAUCUAAAUGUUGUUUUAGGUUGCCGAGGCCUGUGCGUGAAUGCCGGACCGGCCCGAAUAAGCUGUUUGGCUGAUUUUCUAGUUUCUCACCCUUCAGAAUGCUGACAGCUGGCUUGGAUUAUUAACUGUGUAGCAUCUGUCUGCGUUUCACAACGCCCCCCUGCACUACUCUCCGGCUCUAAUGAGCACAGACGACGUGAGCAAGAUGGCAGUUGAGACAGAGGAGGAGGGAUGAGAUUGCCAAUGUUUCACUUUUGCAGACCUGUGGCAUUUGUAAUGUUCUCAUAAAUAUGCAUGUCGUGACUAUUUCUGUCAGCAGACAAUUAGCGUGAGUAAUGCUUUUGCCUCACAAGUCAAUCCAGGGGGAAUUGGUUGUGCAGUGAGCCAGUGUGACAUUAACACACAAUGACUUUUUAAUUCACCCAUCAACCCGCAAGCAUUUAAGAUGAAGUUUAAACGCCUCACAUGAAAAUGUACACAGUUUUAUUAAAACAUAUAAUCAAAAGAAUGUUUGCCAAUCUAACUUUUUCUCUUUUUCCUGCACACCGGAAAAAGAAUCACGAAAAUGUAGAAAGGUCUUAAUGAAGUGGAGUAAAUGGGGCGUUGAAGAGGAAAAACACUUAAUGUGUAAACACUGCCUGCUGACUACGGUAAUACUGUUCCUUUAAGCCUCAUCAGUGACUGUUUCUUUUCCUUCAACUGAGUGAAAUACUGCAUAUUUUGUGCAAAGAAAACGUUUUCAUUUUUUAAAUAUUUUAUUCACA
This is a non-coding RNA of Gasterosteus aculeatus aculeatus (three-spined stickleback), 2580 nucleotides long. Lineage: Eukaryota; Metazoa; Chordata; Actinopteri; Perciformes; Gasterosteidae. The record is from RefSeq and is a predicted model, not a curated record.